AUGCCUCCUCUUGCAUCUCCGUGGUUGUCGUCGUCCUGCAGCCUUGGGCUAGCCUCCUCGUGCAUCAUUGUGGUAGCCAUCGUCCAGCCGCCUCGUGCUCGCCGCACAACAGCCUUCGUCGGCGGCUUGGGCCUGAGUCCAGUGGGAACUGAAGGAGAGCCGCGGGGAGGACCUGACUUCGAUCUGCGCGGAUGUCGUGGAAGAAGCGGCUUCGUCCCCAAGGUCCAAGGAGGUCGCGGAGAGCAUCAGGGCUGUGUGGGAAGGGGGGCUGGGGCGCCGAGAUCGAACGUCGUGCUCUCCCUCUCGCUCUUUGGCAAUCACGGCUAG
This 327-nucleotide ribosomal RNA is filed under the name Triticum aestivum (bread wheat). RNAcentral's name for it is "partial small subunit ribosomal RNA". Lineage: Eukaryota; Viridiplantae; Streptophyta; Magnoliopsida; Poales; Poaceae. The record is from RNAcentral.